This 229-nucleotide ribosomal RNA is filed under the name Bacillus thuringiensis. Its description in RNAcentral is "partial 16S ribosomal RNA". It matches the Rfam family "Bacterial small subunit ribosomal RNA", at positions 819 to 1046 of the family's 1533-position model. Lineage: Bacteria; Bacillati; Bacillota; Bacilli; Caryophanales; Bacillaceae. The record is from RNAcentral.
AGUGUUAGAGGUUUCCUGCCCUUUAGUGCUGAAGUUAACGCAUUAAGCACUCCGCCUGGGGAGUACGGCCGCAAGGUUGAACUCAAAGGAAUUGACGGGCGGGGUGUACAAGGGGGGGAGCCUGAGUCUCAAUUCGAAGCAAGGCCACGAACCUUACCAUUUCUGGCCUUCUUUUGAAAACCUUAAGGUUAGGGUCCCUCCUUCGGAAUUUUUUUGACAGGUGGUGCAU